GCAUAUCAAUAAGCGGAGAAAAGAAACCAACAGGGAUUACCUCAGUAACGGCGAGUGAAGCGGUAAAAGCUCAAAUUUGAAAUCUGGCUCUUUCAGAGUCCGAGUUGUAAUUUGUAGAAGAUGCUUCGGGUGUGGUUCCGGUCUAAGUUCCUUGGAACAGGACGUCAUAGAGGGUGAGAAUCCCGUAUGUGACUGGAUACCUAUGCUCAUGUGAAGCUCUUUCGACGAGUCGAGUUGUUUGGGAAUGCAGCUCAAAAUGGGUGGUAUAUUUCAUCUAAAGCUAAAUAUUGGCCAGAGACCGAUAGCGCACAAGUAGAGUGAUCGAAAGAUGAAAAGCACUUUGGAAAGAGAGUUAAACAGUACGUGAAAUUGUUGAAAGGGAAGCGCUUGCAAUCAGACUUGCACUUGGUGUUCAUCAGGGUUUCGUGCCCUGUGUACUUCAUCAAGUUCAGGCCAGCAUCAGUUUGAGUGGUUAGAUAAAGGCUUGGAGAAUGUGGCCCUCUUCGGGGGGUGUUAUAGCUCCAGGUGCAAUGUAGCCUACUUGGACUGAGGACCGCGCUUCGGCUAGGAUGCUGGCGUAAUGGUUGUAAGCGACCCGUCUUGAAACACGGACCAAGGAGUGUACCUAAUAUGCGAGUGUUUGGGUGUUAAACCCAUACGCGUAAUGAAAGUGAACGCUGGUGAGAACCCUUAAGGGUGCAUCAUCGACCGAUCUUGAUGUCUUCGGAUGGAUUUGAGUAAGAGCAUAUUGGGUGCGACCCGAAAGAUGAUGAUCUAUACGUGAAUAGGGUGAAGCCAGAGGAAACUCUGGUGGAGGCUCGCAGCGGUUCUGACGUGCAAAUCGAUCGUCAAAYUUGCGUAUAGGGGCGAAAGACUAAUCGAAUCAUCUAGUAGCUGGUUCCUGCCGAAG
RNAcentral lists this ribosomal RNA (910 nucleotides) under Dumontinia tuberosa. RNAcentral's name for it is "LSU rRNA". It matches the Rfam family "Eukaryotic large subunit ribosomal RNA", at positions 38 to 966 of the family's 3401-position model. Lineage: Eukaryota; Fungi; Ascomycota; Leotiomycetes; Helotiales; Sclerotiniaceae. The record is from RNAcentral.